Molecule: ribosomal RNA, 497 nt
Filed under: uncultured bacterium
Lineage: Bacteria
Description: partial 16S ribosomal RNA
Rfam family: Bacterial small subunit ribosomal RNA
Source: RNAcentral
GAUGAACGCUGGCGGCGUGCCUAAUACAUGCAAGUCGAGCGAACAGACGAGGAGCUUGCUCCUCUGACGUUAGCGGCGGACGGGUGAGUAACACGUGGAUAACCUACCUAUCAGACUGGGAUAACUUCGGGAAACCGGAGCUAAUACCGGAUGAUAUAUUGAACCGCAUGGUUCCAUAGUGAAAGACGGUUUUGCUUUCACUUAUAGAUGGAUCCGCGCCGCAUUAGCUAGUUGGUAAGGUAACGGCUUACCAAGGCGACGAGGCGUAGCCGACCUGAGAGGGUGAUCGGCCAGCCUGGAAGUGAGAAACGGCCCAGACUCCGACGGGAGGCAGCAGUAGGGAAUCUUCCGCAAUGGGCGAAAGCGUGACGGAGCAACGCCGCGUGAGGGAUGAAGGUCUUCGGAUCGGAAAACUCUGUUAUUAGGGAAGAACAAAUGUGUAAGUAACUAUGCACGUCUUGACGGUACCUAGUCAGAAAGCCACGGCUAACUACGUG